CGUACAACUCUGAGCGGUGGAUCACUCGGCUCGUGUGUCGAUGAAGAGCGCAGCCAACUGUGUGAAUUAAUGUAAACUGCAUACUGCUUUGAACAUCGACAUCUUGAACGCAUAUUGCGGCCAUGGGUUAGCCUGUGGCCACGCCUGUCCGAGGGUCGGCUUAUAAACUAUCACGACGCCCAAAAAGUCGUGGCUUGGGUUUUGCCAGCUGGCGUGAUUUCCUCUGU
RNAcentral lists this ribosomal RNA (227 nucleotides) under Echinoparyphium recurvatum. RNAcentral describes it as "5.8S ribosomal RNA". The stretch from base 6 to 158 matches the Rfam family "5.8S ribosomal RNA". From Rfam's summary of the family: 5.8S ribosomal RNA (5.8S rRNA) is a component of the large subunit of the eukaryotic ribosome. The record is from RNAcentral. Lineage: Eukaryota; Metazoa; Platyhelminthes; Trematoda; Plagiorchiida; Echinostomatidae.